Molecule: long non-coding RNA, 199 nt
Filed under: Capsicum annuum
Lineage: Eukaryota; Viridiplantae; Streptophyta; Magnoliopsida; Solanales; Solanaceae
Description: long non-coding RNA (CANN_LNC012994)
Source: RNAcentral
UGAAGAGAAACAAAAUCGAGCAAGAAGAUACUACAUUGUUGUCGUUAUUGCUACUGGUUUGGUGUUGUUGGGCACAUGAAUAUUGAAGCCUAAUUGCUAAAAUUUUCAUGGUGGUGUGUGUAUUUGCUACUGGUUUGUUGUCGACGAGCACACGGAUAUUCAAGCGUAACUGUUGGAAAAUAUAAAAAAGAUUUAGGCA